This 248-nucleotide ribosomal RNA is filed under the name uncultured bacterium. Its description in RNAcentral is "partial 16S ribosomal RNA". It matches the Rfam family "Bacterial small subunit ribosomal RNA", at positions 796 to 1041 of the family's 1533-position model. The record is from RNAcentral.
CUAGCCGUAAACGAUGGACACUAGGUGUCGGGGGUGUCGACUCCCUCGGUGCCGAAGCUAACGCAUUAAGUGUCCCGCCUGGGGACUACGGCCGCAAGGCUAAAACUCAAAGGAAUUGACGGGGGCCCGCACAAGCAGUGGAGCAUGUGGUUUAAUUCGACGCAACGCGAAGAACCUUACCUGGGCUUGACAUGUACGUGGUAGGAAUCGGAAACGUGCCCGACCCUUCGGGGAGCGUACACAGGUGG